Molecule: ribosomal RNA, 748 nt
Filed under: uncultured cyanobacterium
Lineage: Bacteria; Bacillati; Cyanobacteriota
Description: bacterial SSU rRNA
Rfam family: Bacterial small subunit ribosomal RNA
Source: RNAcentral
AGAGUUUGAUCCUGGCUCAGGAUGAACGCUGGCGGUAUGCUUAACACAUGCAAGUCGAACGAAUGUUUUUCGGACAUUAGUGGCGGACGGGGUGAGUAACGCGUGAGAAUCUGCCUAUAGGUUGGGGACAACAGAUGGAAACGUCUGCUAAUACCCGAUGUGCCGAGAGGUAAAAGCUUUAGUGCCUGUAGAUGAGCUCGCGUCCGAUUAGCUAGUUGGUUGGGUAAAGGCUGACCAAGGCGACGAUCGGUAGCUGGUCUGAGAGGAUGAUCAGCCACACUGGGACUGAGACACGGCCCAGACUCCUACGGGAGGCAGCAGUGGGGAAUUUUCCGCAAUGGGCGAAAGCCUGACGGAGCAAUACCGCGUGCGGGACGAAGGCUUUUGGGUCGUAAACCGCUUUUGUUAGGGAAGAAGAACUGACGGUACCUAACGAAUCAGCAUCGGCUAACUCCGUGCCAGCAGCCGCGGUAAUACGGGGGAUGCAAGCGUUAUCCGGAAUUAUUGGGCGUAAAGCGUCCGCAGGUGGUUUAUCAAGUCUGCUGUCAAAGCGUGGGGCUUAACCCCAUAAAGGCAGUGGAAACUGAGAGACUAGAGUACGGUAGGGGUAGCGGGAAUUCCCAGUGUAGCGGUGAAAUGCGUAGAUAUUGGGAAGAACACCAGCGGCGAAGGCGCGCUACUGGGCCGAAACUGACACUCAUGGACGAAAGCUAGGGGAGCGAAAGGGAUUAGAUACCCCUGUAGUCCU